AAAGAUCGCAGCCUGCGGCAGCUCCUACAGGACCGGGUUUCACUCGGUUAUGUAGGAGCUGCCGCAGGCUGCGAUCUUU
Molecule: unclassified non-coding RNA, 79 nt
Filed under: Pseudomonas helmanticensis
Lineage: Bacteria; Pseudomonadati; Pseudomonadota; Gammaproteobacteria; Pseudomonadales; Pseudomonadaceae
Source: RNAcentral